Salmo salar (Atlantic salmon) is the source of this 54-nucleotide non-coding RNA. NCBI's taxonomy places the organism in Eukaryota, Metazoa, Chordata, Actinopteri, Salmoniformes, Salmonidae. The record is from Rfam.
AUGUUACUAAUUUGUAAGUCGCUCUGGAUAAGAGCGUCUGCUAAAUGACUUCAA